Molecule: long non-coding RNA, 214 nt
Filed under: Cyanistes caeruleus (blue tit)
Lineage: Eukaryota; Metazoa; Chordata; Aves; Passeriformes; Paridae
Description: lncRNA (ENSCCEG00000020131.1)
Source: RNAcentral
GUGGAACUGCUGCAGAACUAAUUGCUCUCCAGUCUCCACUCUGAGUAUGAAUGCCCAGGCGUAACAUCUCAUGCCUUAAAGGCACAGUAAGAAAGAUUCACACUCACAAACCCAUGGAUUCAUAUAUUCACAACGCAGAGAGUGAGAGCUUGCCAUAUGCAAGUAUGCUGAUUAAGAUAUGCAGAAAUCUCCUGUCUCCCAAAGCCAACUUUCC